This 509-nucleotide long non-coding RNA is filed under the name Homo sapiens (human). Its description in RNAcentral is "non-protein coding lnc-RPRD1A-5:1". The record is from RNAcentral. Lineage: Eukaryota; Metazoa; Chordata; Mammalia; Primates; Hominidae.
GCUGCCAAUUCCCCAAGCAAAGGGAAGCGAGGGGAGAGCGCGGAGCCCCCGAUUAGCGUUCGGAGGAACUGGCCUAGAGGGGCCACUCGGAGCGCAAAGGCCCCGCGAAAUAGAAUAUCUAUACGCCCAGCAACCCUCCCUUUCGAGGCGCACGGAAUAAGUUGGCUGGAACUCUCCGCUGACCGCUCCGCCUGGGACUCAGGGUUGCAGCCGCACAGAGCUUCCUCCGGGGCGCCCAGGGCGGCGCGAGCAGGAGGGGGACCCAGUGUGGCCGCGCCCGGGAACUCGGGGGACCAGGUGAGGCUGCGCCCGGGUCCCAGUGGGAUCCAGAUGAGCGUACGCCCAAGCCCGCGGGGGACCAGGCUUCCGAAGUGAUUGAGCAGCGUCAGUCUUCAGCUGCUAAGCCGAGAAGAUCUGGGAAGGAGUCAGUCAGAGAGCCUUGGGCCAGAGUUCCAGAGAGCCUUGGGAAGGAGUCAGUCAGAGAGCCUUGGGGCUCUGGAAGUGGCUGC